RNAcentral lists this ribosomal RNA (460 nucleotides) under uncultured bacterium. Its description in RNAcentral is "partial 16S ribosomal RNA". It matches the Rfam family "Bacterial small subunit ribosomal RNA", at positions 338 to 795 of the family's 1533-position model. The record is from RNAcentral.
CCUACGGGUGGCUGCAGUGAGGAAUAUUGGUCCAUGGACGAGAGUCUGAAUCAGCCAAGUAGCGUGAAGGAUGACUGCCCUAUGGGUUGUACACUUCUUUUAUAUGGGAAUAAAAUGUUCCACGUGUAGGAUUUUGUAUGUACCAUAUGAAUAAGGAUCGGCUAACUCCGUGCCAGCCGCCGCGGUAAUACGGAGGAUCCGAGAGUUAUCCGGAUUUAUUGGGUUUAAAGGGAGCGUAGGUGGAUUGUUAAGUCAGUUGUGAAAGUUUGCGGCUCAACCGUAAAAUUGCAGUUGAAACUGGCAGUCUUGAGUACAGGAGAGGUGGGCGGAAGGCGUGGUGUAGCGGUGAAAUGCUUAGAUAUCACGAAGAACUCCGAUUGCGAAGGCAGUUCACUGGACUGCAACUGACACUGAGGCUCGAAAGUGUGGGUAUCAAACAGGAUUAGAUACCCCAGUAGUC